GAUGAACGCUGGCGGCGUGCCUAAUACAUGCAAGUCGAGCGAACAGAUAAGGAGCUUGCUCCUUUGACGUUAGCGGCGGACGGGUGAGUAACACGUGGGUAACCUACCUAUAAGACUGGGAUAACUUCGGGAAACCGGAGCUAAUACCGGAUAACAUUUUGAACCGCAUGGUUCUAAAGUGAAAGAUGGUUUUGCUAUCACUUAUAGAUGGACCCGCGCCGUAUUAGCUAGUUGGUAAGGUAACGGCUUACCAAGGCAACGAUGCGUAGCCGACCUGAGAGGGUGAUCGGCCACACUGGAACUGAGACACGGUCCAGACUCCUACGGGAGGCAGCAGUAGGGAAUCUUCCGCAAUGGGCGAAAGCCUGACGGAGCAACGCCGCGUGAGUGAUGAAGGGUUUCGGAUCGUAAAACUCUGUUAUUAGGGAAGAACAAACGUGUAAGUAACUGUGCACGUCUUGACGGUACCUAAUCAGAAAGCCACGGCUAACUACGUG
Molecule: ribosomal RNA, 497 nt
Filed under: uncultured bacterium
Lineage: Bacteria
Description: partial 16S ribosomal RNA
Rfam family: Bacterial small subunit ribosomal RNA
Source: RNAcentral